RNAcentral lists this transfer RNA (72 nucleotides) under Diaphorina citri (Asian citrus psyllid). It matches the Rfam family "tRNA". Rfam says of the family: Transfer RNA (tRNA) molecules are approximately 80 nucleotides in length. Their secondary structure includes four short double-helical elements and three loops (D, anti-codon, and T loops). Further hydrogen bonds mediate the characteristic L-shaped molecular structure. tRNAs have two regions of fundamental functional importance: the anti-codon, which is responsible for specific mRNA codon recognition, and the 3' end, to which the tRNAs corresponding amino acid is attached (by aminoacyl-tRNA synthetases). tRNAs cope with the degeneracy of the genetic code in two manners: having more than one tRNA (with a specific anti-codon) for a particular amino acid; and 'wobble' base-pairing, i.e. permitting non-standard base-pairing at the 3rd anti-codon position. The record is from Rfam by way of RNAcentral. Lineage: Eukaryota; Metazoa; Arthropoda; Insecta; Hemiptera; Psyllidae.
GCCUAGUUAGCUUAGUUGGUAGUGCAUCUGCCUUGUAAGCGCUAGGCCGCGGGUUCGAUUCCCGCCGGGGCG